RNAcentral lists this ribosomal RNA (501 nucleotides) under uncultured bacterium. Its description in RNAcentral is "bacterial SSU rRNA". It matches the Rfam family "Bacterial small subunit ribosomal RNA", at positions 28 to 521 of the family's 1533-position model. The record is from RNAcentral.
GAUGAACGCUAGCGGCAGGCUUAACACAUGCAAGUCGAGGGGCAGCGUGAGGGUUAGCAAUAACCCUUGACGGCGACCGGCGCAAGGGUGCGUAACGCGUGAGCAACUUGCCCUUAUCAGGGGGAUAACCGGUGGAAACGCCGACUAAUACCCCAUGGCAUCACAUCAAGGCAUCUUUUUGUGAUUAAAGAAAUUCGGAUAAGGAUAGGCUCGCGUGACAUUAGCUAGACGGCGGGGUAACGGCCCACCGUGGCGACGAUGUCUAGGGGUUCUGAGAGGAAGGUCCCCCACACUGGAACUGAGACACGGUCCAGACUCCUACGGGAGGCAGCAGUGAGGAAUAUUGGUCAAUGGUCGGAAGACUGAACCAGCCAAGUAGCGUGAAGGAUGAAGGUUCAUGGAUUGUAAACUUCUUUUAUACGGGAAUAAACCUCCCACGUGUGGGAGCUUGUAUGUACCGUAUGAAUAAGCAUCGGCUAAUUCCGUGCCAGCAGCCGCGGU